RNAcentral lists this small nucleolar RNA (87 nucleotides) under Chinchilla lanigera (long-tailed chinchilla). RNAcentral describes it as "Small nucleolar RNA SNORD35 (ENSCLAG00000020060.1)". It matches the Rfam family "Small nucleolar RNA SNORD35". Rfam says of the family: U35 is a C/D box snoRNA located in intron 6 of ribosomal protein L13A and intron 3 of ribosomal protein S11 in humans and at homologous positions in mouse and chicken ribosomal protein genes. U35 guides the methylation of 2'-O-ribose sites in 28S rRNA. The record is from Rfam by way of RNAcentral. Lineage: Eukaryota; Metazoa; Chordata; Mammalia; Rodentia; Chinchillidae.
GGCAGAUGAUGUCUGUUCUCACGAUGGUCUUCGGAAGCCUGCAUGGGCACUGCCGAGAAAGCCAGUUGGCAACACUGAUGCCAGAAA